GGAUGAAAUAAAUUUACUUACAAUAAAUGUAACCUUUUAGGCAUUCUUAGUAUAAAUUUAGGUUAGUACU
Molecule: transfer RNA, 70 nt
Filed under: Gammarus tigrinus
Lineage: Eukaryota; Metazoa; Arthropoda; Malacostraca; Amphipoda; Gammaridae
Description: tRNA-Val
Source: RNAcentral